UACAAGGCUAGAUAGGGCCCUGGGAUGAGGCACCUGUGACAGGGAGGGGUGCAAAACCAAGGAGCUGGCUAGACUCACCUUAACAUGGUUUUGCACCCCUCCCUGUCACAGGUGCCUCAUCCCAGGGCCCUAUUUAGCCUUGUACU
Molecule: microRNA precursor, 146 nt
Filed under: Pelobates cultripes (western spadefoot toad)
Lineage: Eukaryota; Metazoa; Chordata; Amphibia; Anura; Pelobatidae
Source: RNAcentral